Molecule: ribosomal RNA, 893 nt
Filed under: Shigella flexneri
Lineage: Bacteria; Pseudomonadati; Pseudomonadota; Gammaproteobacteria; Enterobacterales; Enterobacteriaceae
Description: partial 23S ribosomal RNA
Rfam family: Bacterial large subunit ribosomal RNA
Source: RNAcentral
GGGUUGUGAGGUUAAGCGACUAAGCGUACACGGUGGAUGCCCUGGCAGUCAGAGGCGAUGAAGGACGUGCUAAUCUGCGAUAAGCGCCGGUAAGGUGAUAUGAACCGUUAUAACCGGCGAUUUCCGAAUGGGGAAACCCAGUGUGAUUCGUCACACUAUCAUUAACUGAAUCCAUAGGUUAAUGAGGCGAACCGGGGGAACUGAAACAUCUAAGUACCCCGAGGAAAAGAAAUCAACCGAGAUUCCCCCAGUAGCGGCGAGCGAACGGGGAGGAGCCCAGAGCCUGAAUCAGUGUGUGUGUUAGUGGAAGCGUCUGGAAAGGCGCGCGAUACAGGGUGACAGCCCCGUACACAAAAAUGCACAUAUUGUGAGCUCGAUGAGUAGGGCGGGACACGUGGUAUCCUGUCUGAAUAUGGGGGGACCAUCCUCCAAGGCUAAAUACUCCUGACUGACCGAUAGUGAACCAGUACCGUGAGGGAAAGGCGAAAAGAACCCCGGCGAGGGGAGUGAAAAAGAACCUGAAACCGUGUACGUACAAGCAGUGGGAGCCUCUUUUAUGGGGUGACUGCGUACCUUUUGUAUAAUGGGUCAGCGACUUAUAUUCUGUAGCAAGGUUAACCGAAUAGGGGAGCCGAAGGGAAACCGAGUCUUAACUGGGCGUUAAGUUGCAGGGUAUAGACCCGAAACCCGGUGAUCUAGCCAUGGGCAGGUUGAAGGUUGGGUAACACUAACUGGAGGACCGAACCGACUAAUGUUGAAAAAUUAGCGGAUGACUUGUGGCUGGGGGUGAAAGGCCAAUCAAACCGGGAGAUAGCUGGUUCUCCCCGAAAGCUAUUUAGGUAGCGCCUCGUGAAUUCAUCUCCGGGGGUAGAGCACUGUUUCGGCAAGGGGGU